This 253-nucleotide ribosomal RNA is filed under the name uncultured bacterium. RNAcentral's name for it is "partial 16S ribosomal RNA". It matches the Rfam family "Bacterial small subunit ribosomal RNA", at positions 524 to 776 of the family's 1533-position model. The record is from RNAcentral.
UACAGGGGGGGCAAGCGUUGUUCGGAAUUACUGGGCGUAAAGGGCCAGUAGGCGGCCAACUAAGUCCGACGUGAAAUCCCCAAGCUUAACUUGGGAACUGCGUCGGAUACUGGAUGGCUUGAAUUCGGGAGAGGGAUGCAGAAUUCCAGGUGUAGCGGUGAAAUGCGUAGAUAUCCGGAAGAACACCGGUGGCGAAGGCGGUCUGCUGGGCAGUAGCUGACACUGAGGCGCGACAGCGUGGGGAGCAAACAGG